RNAcentral lists this ribosomal RNA (417 nucleotides) under uncultured prokaryote. RNAcentral describes it as "partial 16S ribosomal RNA". The record is from RNAcentral.
CCCUAUGGGGUGCAGCAGGCUACAAGGUGACCGGCAUCGAUCAAUCGGCCACCAUGAUCGAGGAGGCCAUCCGUAAAAACCCUGACCUUCCACAUACCACCUUUCAAGUCGCCGACAUGCGGAGCCUGGACCUCCAUGAGGAAUACGAUUUUGUCUUAUGCCUGUAUGACUCGCUCAACUACCUGACCCAUCCGCGCGAUGUUCAGGCUUGUUUCGAGGGCGUCGCCAAACACCGCCGUUCCGGCGGCGGCUUCAGCUUCGAUGUGGCCACCGAGGCCAACAUCCUGGAGAACUUCACCAACACCACCUACUCCGAGAAUUUUGAAGACUUCGCCUACAUCUGGGAAAACGAGUACAACAUCAAAACCAAGAUCGGCCGCAGCGAUUUUUACUUCUUCCUUCGUGUGGCGGGGGGGC